AGGUCAGUGCCAUAAGCAGUGCUUUAUCCUUAAUUGAGUUUAUUGCGGAUACACUGUAACAUUAAAAAUCAAUGAAAGCACAGUGAACAUUGGGUUUAUACAAAGUCACACAUAAUCAAAGAUCAAUACGGAAACCCUGCCAUAAAAUAAUAACUCAUAUUCUAAUGUGAAUGUAAUAACUUUAAAUAAGGAGUGAUAUCACAUUUCCCUUAUGUCAGUCACACAAAAGACAGGAGCCUCAAACCAGUGGCCAGUGUAGUGGAGUCUGUGAGGUCAUGCUGUGAUGUCAUAAUGGGCCUCAAACCAGAAAGAACCAGUGCUGGCUGGCCUGGUGGGGUCUGUGAGGUCAUGCUGUGAUGUCAUAAUGGUAUCAACUGCCUAUAUCCCGGCUUGGCUGCUGCCUCCCUCAUUCUCCUUCAAUACCUGGAGACACAAAGCUCACCGGCAGGAGUAGAAACAACUGGCAGGAGAAACAUACUUGGCUGAGCGCUAUGGCCCCGAGAUGGAUGAUCACACUGUGGGAGUCGAUAACUGCCUGCUGUCCAUGCAGAAGAUACAGGAGCUGGAAUGCUCAGAGAAGAGAUGCCCACUUGCCUCGCCAUACCAGGCUUGAGGAAGAAAUGCCUCCAACCAAGCCAGUGGGUUAUGAUCACUCUGAUGGCAGUUUAUCCAAAAAACUAUCUCCCAGUGAGAAGAACAAGGAUCGCCAGAUUAAAGUCCUCGAUCUCAUUAACAAACAGUUAGUCGAGGAGAACAACUUGUUAG
Molecule: long non-coding RNA, 765 nt
Organism: Pseudophryne corroboree (corroboree frog)
Lineage: Eukaryota; Metazoa; Chordata; Amphibia; Anura; Myobatrachidae
Exons: 2
Source: RefSeq, a predicted model, not a curated record